This 784-nucleotide ribosomal RNA is filed under the name uncultured bacterium. Its description in RNAcentral is "SSU rRNA". It matches the Rfam family "Bacterial small subunit ribosomal RNA", at positions 70 to 853 of the family's 1533-position model. The record is from RNAcentral.
CACAGUGCAGCAAUACAUGGGUGGCGACCGGCAAACGGGUGCGGAACACGUACGCAACCUUCCUUCAGGCGGGGAAUAGCCCAGAGAAAUUUGGAUUAAUACCCCAUAAUAUUUUGAGAUGGCAUCAUCUUAUUAUUAAAGCUACGGCACCUGGAGAUGGGCGUGCGGCUGAUUAGGUAGUUGGCGGGGUAAUGGCCCACCAAGCCUACGAUCAGUAGCUGAUGUGAGAGCAUGAUCAGCCACACGGGCACUGAGACACGGGCCCGACUCCUACGGGAGGCAGCAGUAAGGAAUAUUGGUCAAUGGACGCAAGUCUGAACCAGCCAUGCCGCGUGGAGGAUGAAGGUCCUCUGGAUUGUAAACUUCUUUUAUCUGGGACGAAAAAAGGGUUUUCUAACUCGUCUGACGGUACCAGAUGAAUAAGCACCGGCUAACUCCGUGCCAGCAGCCGCGGUAAUACGGAGGGUGCAAGCGUUAUCCGGAUUCACUGGGUUUAAAGGGUGCGUAGGCGGGCAUUUAAGUCAGUGGUGAAAUACCUGAGCUUAACUUGGGAACUGCCAUUGAUACUAUUUGUCUUGAAUGUCGUGGAGGUUAGCGGAAUAUGUCAUGUAGCGGUGAAAUGCUUAGAUAUGACAUAGAACACCUAUUGCGAAGGCAGCUAACUACGCGAAUAUUGACGCUGAGGCACGAAAGCGUGGGGAUCGAACAGGAUUAGAUACCCUGGUAGUCCACGCCCUAAACGAUGAUUACUCGACAUUAGCGAUACACUGUUAGUGUCUGAGCG